This 465-nucleotide ribosomal RNA is filed under the name Vreelandella stevensii. Its description in RNAcentral is "partial 16S ribosomal RNA". It matches the Rfam family "Bacterial small subunit ribosomal RNA", at positions 338 to 795 of the family's 1533-position model. The record is from RNAcentral. Lineage: Bacteria; Pseudomonadati; Pseudomonadota; Gammaproteobacteria; Oceanospirillales; Halomonadaceae.
CCUACAGGCGGCUGCAGUGGGGAAUAUUGGACAAUGGGGGGAACCCUGAUCCAGCCAUGCCGCGUGUGUGAAGAAGGCCCUCGGGUUGUAAAGCACUUUCAGUGAGGAAGAACGCCUGGUGGUUAAUACCCAUCAGGAAAGACAUCACUCACAGAAGAAGCACCGGCUAACUCCGUGCCAGCAGCCGCGGUAAUACGGAGGGUGCGAGCGUUAAUCGGAAUUACUGGGCGUAAAGCGCGCGUAGGUGGCUUGAUAAGCCGGUUGUGAAAGCCCCGGGCUCAACCUGGGAACGGCAUCCGGAACUGUCAAGCUAGAGUGCAGGAGAGGAAGGUAGAAUUCCCGGUGUAGCGGUGAAAUGCGUAGAGAUCGGGAGGAAUACCAGUGGCGAAGGCGGCCUUCUGGACUGACACUGACACUGAGGUGCGAAAGCGUGGGUAGCAAACAGGAUUAGAUACCCUUGUAGUC